This is a long non-coding RNA of Vespula vulgaris, 2563 nucleotides long. RefSeq lists it as uncharacterized. NCBI's taxonomy places the organism in Eukaryota, Metazoa, Arthropoda, Insecta, Hymenoptera, Vespidae. The transcript is spliced from 4 exons. The record is from RefSeq and is a predicted model, not a curated record.
UCUAAUCAAAUGACUAACGAAAUGUUUGGUCGUUCUCUCCGUGACGCAAUAUAUAUAAAUGUGUGUGUGUGUGUGUGUAAAUAUCUAAAAUCUCUAGGUUGCCAUAUUGUCGCCAAAAUAUAUCGAUUCUUAAUAGGAACAUAUGACAAUAUUGGAGGUCAUUCAACUAGUACAGUCCGCUUACAUCAUUUAUCUUAAAGAGUACUGUACACUGAUCUUAUUAUCAAAGAAGAAUGAUUAUUAGAUGUCACAUAAGGCUGUGCAAAUUUUAACGGCAAAUUUUAAUCACUAGAUAGUUAUUUAAUUAUAUUGAGGAAUAAUAGUUCCUUUGCGUGAUUUCAUUGAUGAGAAAUUAAGAAGAUACUUUUAUUGUCAGAGACGUAAAAGUUUAUUCAUCAUGCAUUUGAAUCAGAUGUCCAAAACAUUUACAUUGUUUUAUAUAUUACUUACAUAUUAUAUUGUAAAACCAGAUUUAUGUGAUUUUAUAUAUGAGAAAUUCAAUAAAUGAUCUUAACAUUGAAGACAGAGACUUUUACUCGUCAUGCGUUUGAUAUAGAUGCUCAGAACUUUUGCAAUUAUUUAUAUAUAUUGUAAAAACAGAUUCUCAGAAAGUUAUUUCACGAUAAUGUAUUGUCAAAACACCUAUGUAAAAGGCAGUCAUCAAGAUAUAAAAAUUUAAAUACGUUUGAGAUGAUAUUAUACUUUACUAUGAUUGCUUCAGUAUUUUAUAAAUUUGAAGUCCUGAUCUUAUAAAUAAUAUAUUUAUGACGAAGAAUUGAAUUUUCCAAGACAAAAAAAUAUUGAUAAUAUUAUAUCGUCUGAUUCUGAUUCGGAUGUUGAUAAGUGCAAUAAAGAAUUGUGCACAGAUAUGGAUAUUGGUCAGACUCUAUAUGAAUAAACUAUUAAAAAAGAUAUUGAAAUUGAUAAUGCAGAAGAAAAUAUAAUUGAACGUAAUGAAUGAAAGGAAUAUAUCGGAUAGGAAGAAUCAUUUUCUUUUAUUGUAACAACGAGUCUGCUUUAAAGAACUACUUAAUACUAUCAAUCCGUACAAAGUGUUUUCUUUGUUCAUUAGCGAUGAAAUAAUAAAUGUUCUUAAAACAAAUAUAUAUACAGAACAAAAACUAAAUUCAAACUUACUAUACACGCAUGGUUAUAUAAAUGAACUAAUUAAUUCUGAUUAAAUAGAAAUAUUCUUGGGACUACUGAUAUCAAUGAAACUUGUAAAAAAAAAUUUUAUAAAUAAUCAAAUCAUAUAUAUUAGGUCAAUGUACCAUAUAUAUAACUUUCAUUUAUCAUAUAGUAUCAUAUCAUGAAACAGAUUCAAAUUAUUACACAGUAAUUUAAAUUUUAAUAAUAUUGCUCAAGGUAAUCAAUUUGGAAAAAUACUUCCACUUUUUGAUAAAGUACAGAAAAAAUAUCAAGAGAUGUUAUUGGUAUCGAUGAAACAUUGACUCUAUGGUGUGAUAGAUAUAUCAAAUAAGGUUUAUAAAUAUGGGAUAAAGUUAUUAUACAAACUAUGCUGACCUGAAAAAUAUACAUAGUCAAUCAAACUCUACUUUCAUAAAUCAUUAAAUGGUUACGUUAUAUAAAUAAAAAACGCUUCGAUGAUUAAUCAAAAGCAAAAGAAAAAUUAUAAAAAAAACAACAACUUAUUAUCUAAUCUGUUCUGAAAAACAUCGAUUGUGUAUGUCAUGUUUAAUAAUUCUACAUUCGAAUUAAUUUUUUCCAUAAAAUCGUUUAUAAUGAUACAUCAUUAUAUUGUAUUUAUAAUACUUUAUUAAUCCUACUAUAUAUUCAUAAUUAUCCUUUUAAAUAUCUACUUUGAGCAGAUAAUAUCAUCACAUAAUCAUCACUUUUAUAUGGGUAACAUGAAAGUCAAUACGUUAAAAUUAUAUUUAAAGAUAGUAAUUGAAAUUUUAUGUUAUGCAUAUCUAUAAUAACAAAUUGCAGGAUAACAGAGAGAAAAAGAGAGCAUAGUUGUUUUAUUAAUUAAAAUUAAAAGAUGAAUUGUAUGUACAAAUUCUAUUACGUGUGAUACAUGUCUCUAUUCUUUUCUAUUUAUUAUUUUUGUAUUCAUUACUUAUUUCAAAUUGUUUUUUUUUAAAUAGCGGUUGAUCUUUUUUUUAAACUAUGAUCUCAAGUAAUAAUAAUAUUUAUGUUGUUGUAUUUUAUAUUAUUGUAGUUUCUUUUUGAAACGUUAUGUAAAUAUUUUAUUGCAAAAUUAAAACGAUUGUUCAAAGAAAAAAUAUUUAUCGUCAUCUUUGAAAAAUUUCUUAUAAUUGUAUUAAAUAUAAGGAAGAUUUUUUGUUAUAUACUGAAAUUAAAAUCUGUAAGAAUUACAAUUUCAAAAACAUUUUUGUGCUAUAAAUGAAACUUAAUAAAAAGAGAGAAUUCUUGUGCAAUUUAAUAAUAAAAAUUGAUGAUUCAUAAAAACAUAACAAAAAAGUUGUAAUUUGUAAGAAACAAAGUAUUGUCAUCUAGUACUGACAAAUUAUUAAAUUACUAAAUUAAUAAAUUAAAACAUGAAUAAAUUAAUCGAUCCAAAUAAUCAAAAAUCUUAAUA